AACAGUGUAUUUGUCUCAGGAUCUGCUGGAGCUACUAAGGGAUCAACGAGAACAAAGAUACAAAAAUAGAAGAACAUGCACACACUGACACACACCAAAAGGGACUCAAAUUCUAUCACUAUACUUGCCACUAAUAGCUUAUAAAUUUUUCUGUUCCCUAUAUUUCUGUUUUCCUUUUCUAAGCAAGCAAACAUUAUUAAUGCAACACUGCAGGUUUAAUUCUCCCUUGGCGCUCCAGUUUAGAGCAUUCGGGCAAACAAGGAGAUCAAUCUAUUACUUAAUGUAUACUAUAUAUUUCAGAAUGAGAAACCUCGUGUUGAGUCGGAGUAAAUGACUGCCGGUUCUGGAACCAAAAACUAAGCCCAUGUGUGUGGGUCGUUGCCCCUAGCUGGACUCCGCAACAGCUUUCAGUUGUAUGCAACAACAUCCUGGUAUCAGCUCCUCUCGCUAUCGGACUGGAAGAGCUCGCAACUUCUGUCAGUUGUGCGUAUAAGGGCGCAUGUUCAAGCUCUUGCGUGUUGG
Non-coding RNA from Lolium perenne, 522 nucleotides. The record is from RefSeq and is a predicted model, not a curated record. Lineage: Eukaryota; Viridiplantae; Streptophyta; Magnoliopsida; Poales; Poaceae.